CCCAACAAGUCCCAUCCCCCACUCUUACCCAUGCAUUCCCACCCUACCUACCCCCUUUUCCCUCUCUCCUCAUACUUAGGUCGAGAGCCUUUCUUCAUCCACCAUUUUCAUCAUCUUUCAUUCUUCUUCUCCAAGUUAAGCUUCAAUCUUCAAGCCCUAAGUUCUUCCAAGUGUUAUUGAAGUUUUGUAUUCUUCAAGAUGUACUUCAAGUGUUAUUGACUUGGAUCUUCCACCUACAACCUUUCUUUCAUCAAGCAAACACCCAUAAGGGAAUCACUAAAACAGGUACCAACAAGCUUUUGAGGAUGAGACGCUAAGGCGGUGGACAAAUAUUUUUAUCAUCAUAACGAGAUUGAUUUUUAAACAUCUAACUCUUACAACAAUGUAACCUUUUCAAUUAUAUUUAUGAUGGUUGUGUUUGCUUUGGUCACUAUUAUGCAUUAUGUUAUGAUACAAUACAUGAAAGUCAUCCACCCCGGACGUUUCCACCAUCCUGGUUUGUGGGUGUGACAUAUGGCACUUGGAUAUCAGACCAUAUGGGGGAGCCCAUGGCUUUCCAAAUAAAGACCAUGGGGGAGCCCAUGUCAUAUAUGUGUAAGACCUUGGGGGGGAGCCUACGACAUCCCUAUAUGUUAUAUGCAUGGCUUACGUGAUUGACUUGGAUUAUGUGAUUAUGUGGAUUAUGUGGGGUAUGUUUUGGGGAACUCACUAAGCAUUAACUUACAGUUUGUUGGUUAUUACAGGUACUUCAGGGUCUAAGGGCAAGAGCUUGGCGUGAUGACACGGCAUGCACUCUCUGGCGUUUUAUUUGAGACACUCUGAUAUUAUGAAAAAUUUAUUUGAUGUUAUGAAUUUUGAAAACAAAUGUGAUUGGAAUUUUAUA
This is a non-coding RNA of Lactuca sativa (garden lettuce), 883 nucleotides long. NCBI's taxonomy places the organism in Eukaryota, Viridiplantae, Streptophyta, Magnoliopsida, Asterales, Asteraceae. The record is from RefSeq and is a predicted model, not a curated record.